This 1512-nucleotide ribosomal RNA is filed under the name uncultured bacterium. RNAcentral's name for it is "bacterial SSU rRNA". It matches the Rfam family "Bacterial small subunit ribosomal RNA". The record is from RNAcentral.
AGAGUUUGAUCCUGGCUCAGAAUGAACGUUGGCGGCGUGGAUUAGGCAUGCAAGUCGAGCGAGAAGUUUUCCUUCGGGGAGAUGGACAGCGGCAAACGGGGUAGUAAAGCGUAGGUGACGUACCCUGAGGACCGGGAUAGCCGCGGGAAACUGCGGGUAAUACCGGAUAAUCUCUGCGGUCAUGGUGACUGCAGAGCAAAUGGUGAGAUUCCACCUUUGGAGCGGCUUACGUGGUACUAGGUAGUUGGUGAGGUAACGGCUCACCAAGCCAAAGAUGCCUAGGGGGUGUGAGAGCAUGGCCCCCACCACUGGGACUGAGACACUGCCCAGACACCUACGGGUGGCUGCAGUCGAGAAUCUUCGGCAAUGGGCGCAAGCCUGACCGAGCGACGCCGCGUGCGGGAUGAAGGCCCUUGGGUUGUAAACCGCUGUCAGAGGGGAUGAAAUGCGCGCAGGCUAUCCUGCACGUUUGACAAAGCCUCAGAGGAAGCACCGGCUAACUCCGUGCCAGCAGCCGCGGUAAGACGGAGGGUGCGAACGUUGUUCGGAAUCACUGGGCAUAAAGCGCGCGUAGGCGGUCCACUCAGUCAGGUGUGAAAUCCCCCGGCUCAACCGAGGAACUGCAUCUGAUACUGGUGGACUCGAGGACGGUAGGGGUGAGCGGAACUCCAGGUGGAGCGGUGAAAUGCGUAGAUAUCUGGAGGAACACCGGUGGCGAAAGCGGCUCACUGGGCCGUCUCUGACGCUGAGGCGCGAAAGCUAGGGUAGCAAACGGGAUUAGAUACCCCGGUAGUCCUAGCCGUAAACGAUGGGCACUAGGUAGCGGGGAUGCCUUUGGUCUUCUCUGCCGGAGCUAAUGUGUUAAGUGCCCCGCCUGGGGAGUACGCUCGCAAGGGUAAAACUCAAAGGAAUUGACGGGGGCUCACACAAGCGGUGGAGCAUGUGGUUCAAUUCGAAGCAACGCGAAGAACCUUACCUGGCCUUGACAUGCACGGAUUAGCUUUCUGAAAGGGAAGUGACAGCUCUUCGGAGUCGGAACGUGUGCAGGUGUUGCAUGGCUGUCGUCAGCUCGUGUCGUGAGAUGUUGGGUUAAGUCCCGUAACGAGCGAAACCCUUAUCGUUAGUUGCCAGCGCGUAAUGGCGGGGACUCUAGCGAGACUGCCGUUGUCAAGACGGAGGAAGGUGGGGACGACGUCAAGUCAUCAUGGCCCUUAUGGCCAGGGCGACACACGUGCUACAAUGGUCCGUACAGAGGGUUCCUAAGCCGCAAGGUGGAGGCAAUCCCUAAAGCGGGCCCCAGUUCGGAUUGCAGGCUGAAAUUCGCCUGCAUGAAGCCGGAAUCGCUAGUAAUCGCGUAUCAGCCAUGACGCGGUGAAUAUGUUCCUGAGCCUUGUACACACCGCCCGUCAAGCCACGAAAGCGGGGAGUGCUCGAAGUCGUUCUGUCUAACCUUCGGGAGGACAACGCCGAAAGCAAGCUCCGUGAUUGGGACUAAGUCGUAACAAGGUAACC